UGGUUCUAGCAUCGAUGAAGAACGCAGCGAAAUGCGAUAAGUAAUGUGAAUUGCAGAAUUUUGUGAAUCAUCGAAUUUUUGAACGCACAUUGCACCUUUUGGUAUUCCGAAAGGUAUACCUAUUCGAGCGUCAUUUCACCUAUCAAACUUCUAGUUUGGUUUUGAAUUAAAUCUUAUGAUUGAUUUCAAAUAGAAUUUAGUUUUGGUACAAUGAUCUGUAUUUCAAAACUGUUUUCAAGAAAAUAAUUUAUGGUUGACCUCGAAUUAGGUAGGAUUACCCGCUGA
Molecule: unclassified non-coding RNA, 285 nt
Filed under: uncultured fungus
Lineage: Eukaryota; Fungi
Description: partial contains 5.8S ribosomal RNA and internal transcribed spacer 2
Rfam family: 5.8S ribosomal RNA (bases 1-133)
Source: RNAcentral